RNAcentral lists this ribosomal RNA (451 nucleotides) under uncultured bacterium. RNAcentral's name for it is "partial 16S ribosomal RNA". It matches the Rfam family "Bacterial small subunit ribosomal RNA", at positions 28 to 507 of the family's 1533-position model. The record is from RNAcentral.
GAUGAAUGCUGGCGGCGUGCCUAACACAUGCCAGUCGAGCGGCAGCGCGGGGUGCUUGCACCCUGUCGGCGAGCGGCGAACGGCUGAGUAACGCGUAGGAAUUUGCCCCAAAGUGAGGAAUAACUGCCCGAAAGGGUAGCUAAUGCCGCAUAUGGUCUUCGGAUUAAAGGAUUUAUCCGCUUUGGGAGAAGCCUGCGUUGGAUUAGGUUGUUGGUAGGGUAAUGGCCUACCAAGCCGACGAUCCAUAGCUGGUCUGAGAGGAUGAUCAGCCAGACUGGAACUGAGACACGGUCCAGACUCCUGCGGGAGGCAGCAGUGAGGAAUCUUCCACAAUGGGCGAAAGCCUGAUGGAGCAACGCCGCGUGAAGGAUGAAGGCCUUCGGGUUGUAAACUUCUUUUAUGAGUGAAGAAUAUGACGGUAACUCAUGAAUAAGCACCGGCUAACUACGUG